This is a long non-coding RNA of Olea europaea var. sylvestris, 1170 nucleotides long. RefSeq lists it as uncharacterized. The transcript is spliced from 3 exons. The record is from RefSeq and is a predicted model, not a curated record. Lineage: Eukaryota; Viridiplantae; Streptophyta; Magnoliopsida; Lamiales; Oleaceae.
GUUUUGAUACGAGAUGAUAUGCUCUACUGAAGUUCAAGGGUUCAAUUUUAGACUUUUCUGGUGUCUCUACGGGAUCAUUGUUCCUCAAUCGAGGUUUCUUGUGAUUCGAUUUGUCAGGUGGUGAUGUUGAAUAUUUGUCGAGCAAAGAUUUUUGAGUUAUGUAAUUGAGAUUGACUGGGUUAUUUAUUUCAUUUGUAGCUUAAGGUGUAGUGUUGUAUCAAGUGAUGGCUCGAAAUGUGCAACAAUGCCUGAAGUGAAAAUUCCUUUUGAUUUCUGAGCACACUUGAUACUGCUUUGGUAGUGACGCUACUUGGCUCUUCUUUGCCAACUUGCCACUCUAUUACUUUUAUGAAAUGGCUUCGCCCAAGAGAAUUAGCAUAUUCUGGAAUAGUAAUUGGAAUGAAAAAGGGAGUGAAACAAAGUCCAUUCUUUUAUGAAUUUAGGUAGGGAAAGUCGAAGAAGGUGCAAUAUGAAGGGCCCAAUGGAGACUUGGCUGCUAUACUUCAAAGGGAUGUCUUGGAGACCAAUCCUGGUGUCAGAUAGGAUGAUGUGGUUAGGUUGAGCGAAUCAAAAAGACUUUUAGAAGAAGCUGUGGUUCUUCCACUGUGGAUGCCUGAGUAUUUCCAGGUAUCAGAUAUUAGUUGAAGCUGAGUAAUUUACUUCGAUUUCGUUUAACCCCAUUGUUCCACAAAGUCAUCUGGAUACUUUGUAGUUUUAGUAUUCUAAAUAUGCCGUUGUUUUGUUACUAUGGAUUUUAUGAUGAAUGCCUACGAAAAUGAGUUCAUUAAGUCCAAUCCUGAUUUGCCUGCAAAAGUGAUUUUCAUUUACUUGUAUUGUUCGUACCCCAUUGUAUCUGGUAAAUUUAAUAAUUGAUUUUAGAAGAUUUUUAUAAUUUGCAUCAAAUUAAGAUUAAUAUGUUUUAAAAGAUGAAAACCGAAGAAUUUUAUUCCUUAGCAAUGAGAUCUCAGGUAAGAUGGAGAAACUAUAUUGACAAAUUAUUUAAAGAAAUGCAUAGCGUGAAUAUUUGGUGUUUGAUUAAGUCCACUAUAGAUAGGAAUUUUAUUAUACUAUAAGAAUCCAAUUUUUAUCGGGGAUUGAUUGUAUAAAGAGGACAAGGAUAACAAAAAAAUUGGCCUCGAUGGAAUUGGAAAUAUUUGAGCGAGGUGGGUA